RNAcentral lists this long non-coding RNA (5323 nucleotides) under Bemisia tabaci. RNAcentral describes it as "lncRNA ENSSSA3NGG011577". Lineage: Eukaryota; Metazoa; Arthropoda; Insecta; Hemiptera; Aleyrodidae. The record is from RNAcentral.
AUGGAUCUCGUUUUACCUGACUGUGAAAAUGAUGCAGUUCCUAAAACCUGUCUCUCUCCUGAAAUAAGGACUGUUUCAUCAGAUGUGAGCAGUAAACACGAAGAGAACUCAAGUAGCACUUGUUUGGCUGAAAACGCAAGAAACUUCUCUGAAUUUACCAAUGUUUCUUUUGAAAGAAGAAGAAAUUCUGAUUCUGGUUUCUUUGGCACAUCAGUGAUAGAUGCUGAAGAAUUUAGCCCAAGAAGGUCAAUCAAAAAUCAGUUCUCAAGUGAGCCAAAUAUUUGCAAGCCAUUGAAAAGUCGCCCACCUCUUGAUGACUUUGGCAUAUCUUUGAGAAACACAUCGCAAGAUAAAUGCUUUUUGGCUCGAAUUGGUAUCGUGCGAUCUUUCAAUAUUCCCAUGAUAAAACUAAAGGGCACCAAAAAUUUGACACAACCUACCACAUACGUAACUUUCCAUGAUUGCUUUAAACGGUUACACACCUCUUGCACAGUCGUUGAAACACUUAUACCUGAGUAUAACUCUCGACACAAAGCCUGGCUGUCAGCUGAACUGCUGAAGGAUCCCGAAGAACGGUUAGUUCUACAAGUUUGGUGCAAAAGAUACCAGAAUGAGUUUGCUGGACCUGAUUGUGUUAGAGAUCGCUGUCUAGGUUUUGUUUUUUGCAACUUAACCGUUUUGAUGCUCAAUUUUCGUUAUGCUGGUGGAUGGCAUCAGAUCAUAUCACCAUCUGGGAAGAAUAAUGGACAGAUACAGAUUCUGGUGAAACCACUUCAAAGUAUCGAUUUUGUGAAAGAUCUAGAGUGCGAGGUUCUUGUCCAUAGUGAGAGUAAUUUGAUCAACGACCUCCAGCCGUACAACUUCUACUUGAAUGCUGCUGUUACCAAACAGAAAAAUGAUAUUUCGUCCAAAGAGUUAUUGAGUCAAGAGAUAUUGGAACUCGAAAACCAGAUCAAGGAGUUGCAACUGUCUCAUAAACAACGGUCGAUGAAGGCAGAGUCAUCAAAGGUAAUAGCUGGAAUGAAUGCCGAAAAGAAUUCUCCCAUCAGUAGUGGUAAAGGCACAGCAAAGAAGAUUGCUAGAUUUCUAUCGUUCAGACGGAAAUCAAGAAAACAUAAAAGUCUACCAAUUUCUGAAGAUGGUAGCGGUUCUGUGUCAUCAGGAAGUGUAAUAGAGUCAGAAAAUAUCAGAAUCGCCAAAAAUAAUUCUGAUAAGUAUGACAGUGCUCCAGUGUCCAGUAAUGAGAGUGAGUCACCCUGCUCCGAAUCUGCCAAUGAUGGUAAGAAAGAGGUUAAAAAAUCCCCUUCUAUUUUUGUUCGCAGCUUUUCAUUCAAAUUGAGAAAUCUGGAAGAAAAAGUAAAGUUCAUCAAAAUGCUUUGCUUCAAAAUUUACCUCUGUAUCAAAAAAAUUAUCCACAAAAUCAUGAUGAAUUUGAUAAAUGUAUGAAUAUAAAUUCCAUUUAAGCAAAGCAAUAAAUCCUUAUCCAUGAAAAAGAAGUCGGCCUUUUUGUCUCGCCUUAUAGUGUCAUCAAUUAUUUUUGUACAUUUUUACAAUUUUUCGCAAGUUCCUUUACUUUUUUGCAAGUUCCUUUAAUUACGGCACACUGUUUUGGAACAGUUGUUUUUAAAUUUUUUUAAUUUUCUCAAUAUCAUCAUAUGAAAUAAUUUCAAUUUUACACUUUUAGAUUUAUGAUUAAUGUUUUCUUUUUUUAUUAAUUGAAAGAGAAGUAACUUUACAAGCAGUGCCUAUAUGUAUGUAUUUAGCCAGAAAUCUUCUCAGUGCCUGUUUAUGCACGUGUGCUUCACUACGAUGCUUCUCUCUUUGGCUCAGGAAAUUUCGGAAUUAAGUUAGUAGAUUGUUCACAUUUUUGUUGAGUUCGGUUCUAAGAUAAGUUCUGUUUGGUUUUACUUAUUCUCUCCAAGGAACUUUUUGCAUUCGGGUGAAAUUUUAUCCUUAAGCGUACACCACACCUGGAGUCGCAGGAACUCAUUAAGUGUAAAUUUAAUAUGAAAACAAAGUUCAAAUCACAAGAUUUUUGGCAUUUUACUUUUUCCCCACCUUUUUUUGUGUUUGCCGUAGGAAGUUAAAUAGGUUGUAAUUAGUGCUUUCCUGUGCAAAUCAGUUCAAUAUGUAGGAGUCUUUUCUUUUUGAUGCUAAAUGCGUCAUCUACAUUAUCUGGUCAUUGAUUCGCUUCUAUCAUGAUUAGUCUAAUCGUAAAGAUGAUGAGUAUUUGUUAUAUUUAUUAGUGCAAAUUCUAUAGAGAGGCAAAGGAGACUCUUGGUGAAUCAAAAGUCUAUUAGGGCUAUAACAAACCUUUUUUUCGAAAUGUUGACCAACUAACGAAAUAAGCUCUUUCUUUAGGAAGGCUUUUCUCACUUAUCUCAGUAUUCAAAACUUUGUACUCGUAAUGUUCCAAAACAUAUCCAGCUUUCCUAGGUUUUUUACCGCUCAGUGUGUAUUAUUUUAUUUUAAGUCUGCAAGGUUUUUUCUUUCUGUUGUUCUUAUUCUUCAUUGGUUUUCAGAAUCUCAUGUGUAUUAUUAAAGAUAGAUGGUUUUUGUUUGAAUGUAUCAACCUCAAACAUUUAUAAUUGUUAUUACUGACGUCAGCACUUAAACCUUAGUAACUUACUUUAAGGUUUGCGGCAUACUUUAGUUGUGGAUUGUCAAAAUGAGAUCUGUUUAGAGCAACGAUUUCAUAGGGGCGUCUAGUUUUUGUGGCAUCUACCUGUUUGAAGACUGCAGAGGAUGGUAAUUUUUUUCAUUUAGAUAAUAUUUACCCUAUAGAAUCUCAACGUAUUUUCUCCUUUUUAAUUUUUCCUACACUUUUUUUUAAAAAUGUAUUGCUCAGGAAUUUACUUUUGUAAUUUUUCAUUGUAGGUUCUUGUAAGUGUCGUGUACAAUCAUAAAGCAGGAUUGAAGGAACCUGUUUGUUUGAAUUAAUCUCAUAUUUUAACAUUUUGUGUGAAAUGCCCAAUUUUCUUGCCAGCAGUUGUUAAUCAAUGCUCUAAAAAACAUGUCCCCUCAUCAGAAUCGAACACUAGACCAGACUAAGAUGAGAAAGAAAUUCCUGUAGAGUCUUGAUUAUCUGUGAUUUGAAUUAUUUGCAGCUUUUUCCCCUUGCAGAUUGCAGUCCAAAAAUGUUGCAAAUUUUUUUAAAAAAAUUCGUCCAGAAAUCAUGUUUGCCCAAAUAAGUGCUUUUACCGUAAAAUUAAUUCAUGUUGACUGAUUGACUCUCAUGUUGACUCUCUGUCCAAAAUUAAUUUUCUUGUAAUUUUAACCAUAUUUUCUUAAACAUUUUUUAUGAAAAAGUUUACAUGAGAUGAAAGAGAAAAGUUUCUUUUCCAUUAAUCCAGCCACAUCCAGUUAAUUUUAUAAUUUUGUCAAAAUGUAUUUUUUAUAGUAAAAGAGGACGUAACAAAAUUUUAUUUCACUGAUCACGUACAACACUUUGAACUUUUCCUUUUGCGUUACGUUCAUUAUUUUUCCAAGUAAGUAUAGGUUCAGUUAGUUCAUACAUAGCCGAGCAUUCUUGCAAUCUUGACAAUUGAAUUCAUUGAUAGCUCUGUUCUUGUCUAAUACUUUACUUUCUACUAUCUCUCAACCUCUCUCCAGGCUAUGGUAAUUAUUUUUCCGUCCAUAGUUCUUAAUAUUUGAUGUAACCCUAAAAGAAAUAUCAGUAAACAUGAUUUGAUACGAAGUACAAUCAUUGAUUCUCUUGCCUUCAUUUUUGAUUUUUUUUUUUUCCAUUUGGCAUGUGAGCCAUGUUAACUUGGGUGGAUCGAAAUUUUCGACUUCCAGAGGGGACACGCGAUCAUCAAAAAAAAAAAAUUGUCAAUGGGCCCCAUAUGAAGCACCAAAAAUGUCACCUCCUAAAUUGACCCCCUCCCCCUAUAGUACCGCAUAUAGACCUAGAAGGCCUACAUUCUUAAUACAUCGUAUAAAAGGUUCAAACACAUGUUUACUUAGAAAUUUGUCAAAUUUUGGCCCCAAAGUUCGAAAAUUUCGUCCGUUUUGACGUAUCGUGCACGAGUAAUGCACAUUUGACCUGUUUUCACCCGAUAAAUAGUCGGAAGCGCCCUCUAGAAUGGCCCAUCUACAGUAAUGUCAGUAAUGCAGUAAUGUCAUGAGUGUGGAUAGUCAAUCCAAAUGGAUUUUGCCGAAAUUACGACCCCACACAAAAAUUUCGUCCGUUUUGGCGUAGGUAUUUCCGACCGUUCACCCACCAACAUGCGGAGAGGGCGUUUGAGCGAUGCAGGGCACGGAUCGUCGCGUUGCGUCCACCCGGUGCCCGCUUCGACCGUUCGGGGCCGGCCGGUCGGUCCAGGGAAACCCGCCGCGACGCGCGGCGGCAAGGUGUCGGCACUGGUCGGUGUUUUUUUCUUCUUUUUUUUUUACCAAUUUCAAAUAGCCUAUGGCUAAUCCCACGCUUAUUACCCCAGCCCCAGGUGACCAUUGCCCCCCAAACCCAAACCCCCAACUCCCCCCAAACUCAGAUCACCUGGCCGGGAAUCGAACCCGGGACCUCUUGGUCAUAGGGCCAGCGCUACAACCACUACACCACAGGAGGCCGACCGUCUGUGGAGCCGUAAACAGUAAACUCACUGGCAAAUCCCGUGUUCAGGCAAAAGCUAUGUGGAAUCUAAGGUAGAUAAGACGAGUGAAAAUCCGCGACCUUUGGAGUUGUAGUGCUGACCCACUGUGAUCAGUUUUCUCUCAAGUUUCUUAUCAUUAUACGACCUCGCUCCUGCGGCUCGAAGUGAAGUGACUUGUAUAUCGAUCUUUUUCACCUCAGGUUUAUAUUUAUUUGGUUUAUGAAACACUUGAAAAUUUGAACGUACUUCGCGUAAAAUAGAAGUAGCACUAAUUAUGCGUAAACUUUGCGAAUAAGUCGGGAUUGAUGCUCGGGUCCAAAUUGUACGCACUUUUGCCUCAACGCAACUAACCACUUUAUGCACUGCUGGUUCAAGUCCGACGUUUCCCGACCGUAAUAGGUACUUCAUGAGUGUGAAUAUAAUAUUUCACAACUUCCGCGUAGGUUGUUAAAACAGUUUCUCUUAAUUGCAGACGAGCCAAAAUCGGAUGCGACUAACUAUUGCGCAUUUCUUAGCCAUACUGUUCGUGAUAAUGAAGCACUGAAAAGAGCUGUUUGGAGUAACAGGAAUAUCGUCCACAAGUCACUUCACUUCGAAUACUUCACAGGAGCGAGAUCGUAAUGAUGAGAAACUUAAAGGGAAAACUGAUCACAGUGGGUCAGCACUACAACUCCAAAGGUCGCGGAUUUUCCAUAGAGUACAUACAGGGUGAUCCAGACCACCCGUCCACU